AGCUUUGCGCAGUGGCAGUAUCGUAGCCAAUGAGGUUUAUCCGAGGCGCGAUUAUUGCUAAUUGAGCAUUUAUAAAGCUAGGUAACUGCUAAGUGCUUUUACAUCCAUUAUAUCACAAAUCCUAACAGUUGCCCAGUGUAAGAAUUGUCAUCUACA
Small nuclear RNA from Ursus americanus (American black bear), 156 nucleotides. Its record names the gene U4. It matches the Rfam family "U4 spliceosomal RNA". Rfam says of the family: U4 small nuclear RNA (U4 snRNA) is a component of the major U2-dependent spliceosome. The structure of U4 snRNA from yeast and human has been reported. The record is from Ensembl. Lineage: Eukaryota; Metazoa; Chordata; Mammalia; Carnivora; Ursidae.